GAACAAUUGGCUAACGCAGCUACUGACAAUACAAGUUAUUACCCGGAUAAAUUAUCUGUCUACAAGUCCGACAGAAGUGUCGUUAUAUAUAUAUAUAUAUACAUAUGUAUAUACAUAUACAUAUAUAUUAGAAUAACUUUAAUAUAAUAGCUUGAGAAUACCUGACGAGUGGACAUAUUGGUAGGUAUUGGUGAGUUCCCUAUUUGUUGUCUUUUUUUUUUUUUUUUUUUCUCCUUCGGUUGCUAUUAAGUUGGACUUCUGGCUAACGUUAACGUUAAAAAAAAAAUAAAAAAAUAAACAUCAUAGUCACGUUAGAGUGUUUCAACUAACUCGCUUUAGCAAGUUCGGUCAUGUCGUCGAUAAUGUUGGAGAAGGUAGGAAGUGGUAAGCGAUAGGAAACUUAUCUUAUUUAGAAAGUUAAGGCAGGAACCAACCACACACACACACACACACAUAGUAGACAGUUGAUGCUGCUCUAAAGCCACAAGGAAAAGGUGAAUUGAAACGAACCUGUGACUGAUAUUCUCUUGCUAGUUUUCUUCUGCUAGUUUCCACCUGAACCAUUUGCUUUCUUGCUCAGCAAAUGUCGACUAAUUUAAACAAUCCGAAUACUACUCUACUGAGCUCUAACCCUAAUCUAAGGAUUCCAUAAAGGAUGAGUUUUAUGCGACACAAAUCAUCUAACCAGGCAAAAAGCGACUAUAUGAUGUCGAGAUCCGUCUUUUCACACUGAGGACGACCGAGGGACUCGUACACGACUAUUACAUAAGGUGCAAACGUUCACUGAUGCUCAAGAAGGUAACAUGAUACAUUAAGAGCCAGGGGGGUGUAAACUUUUGAACAUGGCGAUCGGUGUAAAUUAUUAUUUUGUUUUCUGGGAAGCAUGCAAAUAUCUUAUGUAGCUUCUGAAGGGCAGUACUAAAUGUAAUGUAUAAAAAAUGGACUGUUUUGUAAUAGUCGUGUACGAGUCCCUCGGUCGUCCUCAGUGUAAAAAGAUGGAUCUCAACAUCAUAUAGCCGCUGCUGGAAAAUACAAAAAAUCAAAAUGCAAUUUUUAUGAUCCCUCUUUUUUUUUCCUGCAAGGUUUAUGUAAACUUGUGACCUGCUACUGUAUUUAUGAUGGGUGUAGCGAUUCUGUUGCUAAGUUGUUAUUUCCGUAUGGUUGUCUGCUGUAUUGAUAUCACAGAAGGACAUUGUAACCGGCACAGCGCGAAUUAGCUUUUUUUUUUUUUAGUCCGUCACCAUUUUCUAGCUACGCCACAGUAAUGAGAAAUCCAGUGCGCAAGCUGCGGAGGUGCCCGCGGUCGUGUUGGAAACGAAAUCCCGGAAUUAGUUAGAGAUCUACGAGAUGACCAGUACGAUGGCAUUGACGCCGUUAUUACCAUGCAAGUCUGAAGCUUUUGGAAAAAAAGCUUAUCCGUUCUGCGUGUACAGAUGAGAGAGCAGGAUAGACUAAAGGAUUCAAG
Ictalurus punctatus (channel catfish) is the source of this 1465-nucleotide long non-coding RNA. Lineage: Eukaryota; Metazoa; Chordata; Actinopteri; Siluriformes; Ictaluridae. The record is from Ensembl.